AUUACAUCUGUCCGAAUUGUAAUUUCAAGAGGCAUCUUUGGGUGUGGCUCAGGUAAAAGUCUGUUGGAAUACAGCAUCAUAGAGGGUGAGAAUCCCGUCCAUGACCUGGGACCCAUUCCUAUGUAAAGUGUCUUCAAAGAGUCGAGUUGUUUGGGAAUGCAGCUCUAAAUGGGUGGUAAAUUCCAUCUAAGGCUAAAUACUGGUGGGAGACCGAUAGCGAACAAGUAGUGUGAACGAAAGAUGAAAAGAACUUUGAAAAGAGAGUUAAAUAGUACGUGAAAUUGUUGAAAGGGAAGCGCUUGGGACCAGAGUGCUGCUUAUCAGGAUCAGCAAAGCUUCAAGUUUUGUGCACUCCUGAAUUUGCAGGGCCAGCAUCAGUUUGGACGGUUGUAUAAAGGCUUGAGGAAGGUAGCUUUGUCUUUUUUAGAUAGAGUGUUAUAGACUCUUGUGCAAUGCAACCAGUUUGGACUGAGGACUGCAGCAAUUUAUUUGCUUAAGGAUGCUGGCGUAAUGGUCUCAAUCGACCCGUCUUGAAACACGGACCAAGGAGUCUAACAUCUAUGCAAGUGUUUGGGUGUCAAACCCAUGUGCGAAAUGAAAGUGAAUGCAGAUGGGAUCCCCCACAAGGGGUGCACCAUCGACCGAUCCUGAUGUUCUCGGAUGGAUUUGAGUAAGAGCAUAGCUGUUGGGACCCGAAAGAUGGUGAACUAUGCCUGAAUAGGGUGAAGCCAGAGGAAACUCUGGUGGAGGCUCGUAGCGGUUCUGACGUGCAAAUCGAUCGUCAAAUUUGGGUAUAGG
RNAcentral lists this ribosomal RNA (798 nucleotides) under Neolecta irregularis. RNAcentral describes it as "LSU rRNA". It matches the Rfam family "Eukaryotic large subunit ribosomal RNA", at positions 127 to 921 of the family's 3401-position model. The record is from RNAcentral. Lineage: Eukaryota; Fungi; Ascomycota; Neolectomycetes; Neolectales; Neolectaceae.